RNAcentral lists this ribosomal RNA (433 nucleotides) under uncultured bacterium. RNAcentral describes it as "partial 16S ribosomal RNA". It matches the Rfam family "Bacterial small subunit ribosomal RNA", at positions 29 to 507 of the family's 1533-position model. The record is from RNAcentral.
AACGAACGCUGGCGGCAUGCCUAACACAUGCAAGUCGAACGAGACCUUCGGGUCUAGUGGCGCACGGGUGCGUAACGCGUGGGAACCUGCCCUUAGGUUCGGAAUAACUCCCCGAAAGGGGUGCUAAUACCGGAUAAUGUCUUCGGCCCAAAGAUUUAUCGCCUUUGGAUGGGCCCGCGUUGGAUUAGCUAGUUGGUAGGGUAAAAGCCUACCAAGGCGACGAUCCAUAGCUGGUCUGAGAGGAUGAUCAGCCACACUGGGACGGAGACACGGCCCAGACUCCUACGGGAGGCAGCAGUGGGGAAUAUUGGACAAUGGGCGAAAGCCUGAUCCAGCAAUGCCGCGUGAGUGAUGAAGGCCUUAGGGUUGUAAAGCUCUUUUACCCGGGAUGAUAAUGACAGUACCGGGAGAAUAAGCGCCGGCUAACUCCGUG